This 1713-nucleotide long non-coding RNA is filed under the name Rattus norvegicus (Norway rat). RNAcentral's name for it is "long non-coding RNA NONRATT016761". The record is from RNAcentral. Lineage: Eukaryota; Metazoa; Chordata; Mammalia; Rodentia; Muridae.
UCAAAAGACAGAAUUCAGUGUUUACUGAUUUGUUCAAAAAGGAAAGUCAAACCUUUGUACAGCCUGGGUUUCUGGUCCAGGACCUGUGUUUUGCCAAACAUAUGAAGAAUGUGUUUGUCCCUGUAACCAUACAGGAAGAGACAAAAGCCAACUGAUUCACAAGACCAAGGCAUACUCCAUGGUCAGACCUGAUCUGCAGAGGUGGCCACCCUUGCGUUGCAGUCUCCUCAGCCUUCUCUGCUUACACUCGGGAUUGCUGAAUCACUGGGUGGCACCUGGACUCUCUUCCAAGCCACACAAACAAGUUCUCAACUCUUGGAUUUCUGGAUCCUUGCUUCUUUUAAUUGCAGGCACGCCAUUGCAGCCAGCAGUUACAGCGCCCCCUGUGGGAGGCAGGAGGGAGUGCACAGAGAGCAGAGUGGCAGCCCCAGUGCUGGGCUGACCCUCUUAGCCAUGGGAGAAUGGGGAAGUUUCUUGACCUCUGGCACCUCAGCAUCCCUGCCGAUUGGUGUGAUGGCGGGGCUGAUUUUGCAGGGUGAUUGGGUGUGUUUUCUCCCUCUGGACUUUAAAGUCUCUGGUGUGUUCCUAGAGUGGGCUUGCAGAGUUGAGGUCCUGGUUUCUCCUUCUCCCUUGCAGGGCCUGAAGAAGAUCUCUGCCUAUAUGAAGACCAGCCACUUCCUUCCAAGUCCUGUGUACUUAAAACAGGUCACGUGGGGCAACAAGUAGGACCCUGCAUGGAGGGCCGGUGAUGGUAGGGAGGAUCUGUCAGGGCUUCUGUGGUCCUGGACCAUGCUUGGCUCCUCUCGCCCACUCUGUAAUAAUCUUCCUGUUCCAUUCCUUUCUCCUGUAUCAGGAUUAUUGUCUCCCUUCUACCGGCUUCUCACCAGAUGGUCCUAUGCUUUGCUUGGAGCAGCUUAAUAGACACUAUCCUCCUGACUCUUGCCUGAGAGAUCAGCCUUGUCCAAUCCCCAGUGAAGUCUGAACUGUACUCACUCUGGGUCUUGGCAUAUUGCCAAUGGCUCAAAGACUGACUUCAUUGACUUGUUGGAGUGGUGUUUGUUCCUUUGUUCACAGGAAGAGCUGGGUAACGAGACCAUAAUCGAGGGCUGGAGGGAUGGGUCUCAGUCAAGCAGGGUCUAAGACCAAAUAUGGGCCUUGCUGUCCUCUGGUAUUUCUGAGGCUGGGGUUCCUACAGGAUGGUGCUCCUUCUGCACCAGGGCUCCUCAUUCACCCUGCAGGAUGCAAAACCUCCAUUGGCCAUGUAUCGCCAUGUGCCAGGCUUGGAAGAAAGGCUGGGCUGAUGGGAGGAGGUGAGCAGGUCCUAGACUCAAUAUCUGUCCCCAUCCGGAAGUCUUUUCUGGACCAAAUGUGCACUUCGUCUCAAAGAUGUUUCCCUAUAGAUCUUCCCACCACCUGUGGUUGCUCUUGUGAGUGUCCUUGUCCAGCUCAGUCAUAGGCUCCUUUUAAGGAUCACAUAUUGCUGAAGUUUUCAUCUCUGAUAUGAAUGGCAGUGUGUGGCAUACUGUCAAUGAUCACAAAAUUAAGACGAUUUGCCCCCCGCACCCCCCCCAGUCCUGCAAAUUAGCAACCUGGAAAUAACCAUGGUUCCCCCCAAAGGCAUAGAAUGGGAUACAGAAGCUAUCCCAUGUGGAGGUGGCAUAUUUAGCCACCCAAAUGCGCUCUCUCAUUUAAGCACUUAAGAGGCAGCAGUUG